Molecule: long non-coding RNA, 2585 nt
Filed under: Sus scrofa (pig)
Lineage: Eukaryota; Metazoa; Chordata; Mammalia; Artiodactyla; Suidae
Description: lncRNA (ENSSSCG00050039492.1)
Source: RNAcentral
GCCCCCCCGCUUCCGGAUACAGCAGACCUCGCGACAAGUGGAGCUGUCGCGAGAGGAUGCCAGCGGUCUUCCUCGUCCUAUCCGGGCGGGGCGGGGAAGACGAAAAGCUCUUGGUGAGGCUGGGCCUUUCUGGGGACGAUGCCGUCCGCAUUCUCAGUGAGCUCGUUCCCCGUCAGCAUCCCCGCCGUGAUCAUGCAGACAGACUGGACGGAGCCGUGGCUGGUCGGGCUGGUCAUCUUCCACGUACUCUGCCUGCUGCUCACCUGCUUCUCAUCCCGGAGGUAUAAGCUACAGGUCGGGCACUUCCUGUGUCUGGUGACGCUGGUCUACUGCGCCGAGUACAUCAAUGAGGUUGCGGCCAUGAACUGGAGGUCCUUCUCAAAGUACCAGUAUUUCGACUCGAGGGGGAUGUUCGUGUCCCUGGUCUUCUCGGCACCGCUGCUGCUCAACGCCCUGGCCAUCGUGAUCCUGUGGGUGCGCAAGACGCUGGCGGUGAUGAGCGACCUGAGGACCUUACAGCAGCGCCGGGGGCGGCCGAAGCAGCAGUGACGGCUCUGCCCCCGGCUGGCGCCUGGGCAUCCAGACCCGCCCCGCGUCCCGAGACGCUUGGGCUGGCUUUGAAGGGCGCUCGCCCGGCCUGGGUCCACCCAGAAGGUCUGAGUCUCCCUAGUUAAACUGUAAAUGGAGCCCCUGCAGUCAAGCCUGAGCUCGGGACACCCUGUCUGUCCAUACUCCCCCAUCACCCCUGUCACCCCCAUGCUCCCCGUCAGCCCCCUGUCACGGUCACCCCUGUCACCCCUGUCACUGCCAUCACCCUGGUCUGGCCUUCGUGGUGACGGCCUCUCCAGGCAGGGCUGCCGCUGGACAGGGCAGGAGGGGCCGCCUGGCCUCUGUGCAGUUGGAGGCGUCACGGCGCCGGUGGAGGCCGGAGUCGGGAUCUUCAGAGGCGGCAGCCGCGCGAGCCCCUUGAGUUGUGCUUCAGGAAGGAACGUCGCCAUUAAAACAGUCAGCAGCUGCCUGGUUCAACUAAGAGGUUUUAUGGCAAAUACCGAGACGGGUUCUGUCCCUUGGUUCCUGCCUCUUACAUUCUGCUCGGGGACAUGCCACCGCCUCUUCUGUUGGAGCAGGUGCACUGAUUCGGUGUCACGGCCGCGCUGCGGACUAGACCUGCAGCUGGAGGGUGGGGGCCGCAUGUCUAAACUCAGCGUUUGAGAAAGAGGAGGCGGUUGGCUCCUGAUGGGGUUUGAAAAAAUAGCUUGCGAGCCUUCCUGCGGUGACUCAAAGGGAUCAGCGGCAUCUCUGCAGCGCUGGGCGCGGGUUUGAUCCCUGGCCGGGUGCAGUGGGUUAAGGCUCUGACAGGGCUGCAGCUGCAGUGUAAGUCACGCUGGGACGUGGCUCUGAUCCUGGCCCAGGAAAGCCAUGUGCCAUGGGGUGGCCUGAAAAAAAGAGAGGAAGUAGUUUAUGAAUAGUUGUCUUAAUUUUAAGAAGAUGUUUUCCCUUAAAUGAAGUAUAUUUUUCAAAUUUCAAAAGAAAAAAAAUUGGUCACGUGAAAGCAUUAUAUUUAGUGGUUCAGAGGGUAACACUGCUGGAUGAUGGGAUUAAAUCUUGAAAUCCAGACGUAAAGACAGCUGUAAACUCUUAGCAGAGAAAUUAUUUCCUUAAUUUUGACGUUGGUUUUAGAACCGAGUCGAUAGAACUUCCUAGAUCAAUCUCUUGGAGCUUUUAACCUCACAUCCUUUCUUGAUGUGAACGUCUGUACUGAACAUUGAAAAAAUUGACUCAGCAACAGCAUGUCACGUGAAAUCCAGUUUUAGAUGUCUUGCACCUGAUGACAUCCUGAGGGUGCGUUGCUGAAAGUGACCAGUUCAGGGUGUUCCUUGGUGUCCUGGCUUCAGAAGAGUCGCCUGCAUCUGAGCAGCUCCCGGGAGCCCACAGCGGCAGGGGCUGCGGGCGGGGUCGAGUGUCCCCUCCAGCGCCGGCCUGGGGCCAGGGGACAGAAGUGCCCGUGGCAACGUCCUGCCCUUGCCCUCGGCCCCUCGGAGCCCAGGGAGUGCAGGCAUUUCCACCGUCUGGAGCCACUCCUGUCAGCGCGAGACUGUGACUGGCUCUCAGCUGUCCUGUGAAGACCGGGUAAUGACAUCGUCAUUGGCCUGGAUGUGGGGUCAGACGUCCUGUCGAAAAACACGACGUAGGGCCUUUUCGUUCACUGGUGUGUGUAAGUUUUGGGGAAUCGUUGUGUUUUAUUUUCACAAACACAACCUGUUUUUAAAACUUUUAGUAGGUUUCUCUCCAGUGGCUUAAAGGGCAGUGUUUACGAACACCAGGCGGUCCUCAUGCUUGGGACACACUCCAAGCCGUCGCUGUCCCAGCACUUCAGGUCACCUCAAGUGUGGGGACUGUGGCCCUUUCGGGGCAUCGGGGUGCUGCUGGGGCUUGGGGCCUCCAGGCAGGUGGAAGGGCAGCCUGUGUCUGUCAUCUGCGGACGAGGAGACGAGAGACACGCGUGGUCAAGGCGCAUUUAGCCCGUUCCAGACCUGCGACCUUCAGUUUGUCAGUUGCUGUGUAAUAAAGUCUUAUUUUAUUUC